RNAcentral lists this ribosomal RNA (1971 nucleotides) under Streptococcus pneumoniae. Lineage: Bacteria; Bacillati; Bacillota; Bacilli; Lactobacillales; Streptococcaceae. The record is from RNAcentral.
CCAAGAGUUCACAUCGACGGGGAGGUUUGGCACCUCGAUGUCGGCUCGUCGCAUCCUGGGGCUGUAGUCGGUCCCAAGGGUUGGGCUGUUCGCCCAUUAAAGCGGUACGCGAGCUGGGUUCAGAACGUCGUGAGACAGUUCGGUCCCUAUCCGUCGUGGGCGUAGGAAAUUUGAGAGGAGCUGUCCUUAGUACGAGAGGACCGGGAUGGACGCACCGCUGGUGUACCAGUUGUUCUGCCAAGGGCAUAGCUGGGUAGCUAUGUGCGGAAGGGAUAAGUGCUGAAAGCAUCUAAGCAUGAAGCCCCCCUCAAGAUGAGAUUUCCCAUAGCGUAAGCUAGUAAGAUCCCUGAAAGAUGAUCAGGUUGAUAGGUUCGAGGUGGAAGCAUGGUGACAUGUGGAGCUGACGAAUACUAAUAGAUCGAGGACUUAACCAUAUAAUAUGUAGCAAAUGUUAUCUAGUUUUGAAGGAAUAUGCCUUCAAUAGUUUGGUGAUGAUGGCAGAGAGGUCACACCCGUUCCCAUACCGAACACGGAAGUUAAGCUCUCUAGCGCCGAUGGUAGUUGGGACCUUGUCCCUGUGAGAGUAGGACGUCGCCAAGCAACUAAANAAGGCUGAGCUGUGAUGGGGAAGCUCCUUAUGGAGCGAAGUCUUUGAUUCCCCGCUGCCAAGAAAAGCUUCUAGCGAGAUAAAAGGUGCCUGUACCGCAAACCGACACAGGUAGGCGAGGAGAGAAUCCUAAGGUGUGCGAGAGAACUCUGGUUAAGGAACUCGGCAAAAUGACCCCGUAACUUCGGGAGAAGGGGUGCUUUCUUAACGGAAAGCCGCAGUGAAUAGGCCCAAGCGACUGUUUAGCAAAAACACAGCUCUCUGCGAAGCCGUAAGGCGAAGUAUAGGGGGUGACACCUGCCCGGUGCUGGAAGGUUAAGGAGAGGGGUUAGCGUAAGCGAAGCUCUGAACUGAAGCCCCAGUAAACGGCGGCCGUAACUAUAACGGUCCUAAGGUAGCGAAAUUCCUUGUCGGGUAAGUUCCGACCCGCACGAAAGGUGUAACGAUUUGGGCACUGUCUCAACCAGAGACUCGGUGAAAUUAUAGUACCUGUGAAGAUGCAGGUUACCCGCGACAGGACGGAAAGACCCCGUGGAGCUUUACUGUAGCCUGAUAUUGAAUUUUGGUACAGUUUGUACAGGAUAGGCGGGAGCCAUUGAAACCGGAGCGCUAGCUUCGGUGGAGGCGCUGGUGGGAUACCGCCCUGACUGUAUUGAAAUUCUAACCUACGGGUCUUAUCGACCCGGGAGACAGUGUCAGGUGGGCAGUUUGACUGGGGCGGUCGCCUCCUAAAGUGUAACGGAGGCGCCCAAAGGUUCCCUCAGAAUGGUUGGAAAUCAUUCGUAGAGUGCAAAGGCAUAAGGGAGCUUGACUGCGAGACCUACAAGUCGAGCAGGGACGAAAGUCGGGCUUAGUGAUCCGGUGGUUCCGCAUGGAAGGGCCAUCGCUCAACGGAUAAAAGCUACCCCGGGGAUAACAGGCUUAUCUCCCCCAAGAGUCCACAUCGACGGGGAGGUUUGGCACCUCGAUGUCGGCUCAUCGCAUCCUGGGGCUGUAGUCGGUCCCAAGGGUUGGGCUGUUCGCCCAUUAAAGCGGUACGCGAGCUGGGUUCAGAACGUCGUGAGACAGUUCGGUCCCUAUCCGUCGUGGGCGUAGGAAAUUUGAGAGGAGCUGUCCUUAGUACGAGAGGACCGGGAUGGACGCACCGCUGGUGUACCAGUUGUUCUGCCAAGGGCAUAGCUGGGUAGCUAUGUGCGGAAGGGAUAAGUGCUGAAAGCAUCUAAGCAUGAAGCCCCCCUCAAGAUGAGAUUUCCCAUAGCGUAAGCUAGUAAGAUCCCUGAAAGAUGAUCAGGUUGAUAGGUUCGAGGUGGAAGCAUGGUGACAUGUGGAGCUGACGAAUACUAAUAGAUCGAGGACUUAACCAU